RNAcentral lists this ribosomal RNA (396 nucleotides) under Triticum aestivum (bread wheat). RNAcentral's name for it is "partial small subunit ribosomal RNA". The record is from RNAcentral. Lineage: Eukaryota; Viridiplantae; Streptophyta; Magnoliopsida; Poales; Poaceae.
AUGAAUGUUCCUCCGGUAAACAUAGUGCUUGGACAAUUGUGGUUAAACUCCUCCAUAUGGCUUAAAGAUGCUUGUUAUAACCUCAUAUGCAAAUUACAGUUUUAUUGUGUUGCUAAGAAAAAGAAUGUUCCUGCAGUUUGUUCCUGUGUAGAUCCAUUGGAUCAACACUUCAUCAAACUGGAAGUUGAAUUGGUGUCAUAUUCCCUACAUGUUAAGAUCUAUUUAUGUAUUCUAAUUAAGCUUUAUCGUAACUUGAAAUUAGCAAACAUGUUCAGUGUGAAAGCUAAACUAAAUGGUUGCAACAUGUCUUGGAUUCUUCAUGGAUGCAGAAUGCGGAAGCUUAAAUUGGUCAUAAGUGUCUCUUUUUUCUUUAGAACCUCUUGGGUGGCAUGUUAG